ACGAACGCUGGCGGUGUGCUUAACACAUGCAAGUGGUGCGACGAACCAGAGCUUGCUCUGGGGCAAAGCCGCGAACGGGUGAGUAACACGUGGGUAAUCUACCCCGAUGACCGGGACAACCCGAGGAAACUCGGGCUAAUACCGGAUGUGGUACGGAGACAUAAGUCUCUUUACUAAAGGUAGCUUCGGCUUCCGCAUUGGGAGGGGCCCGCGGCCCAUUAGCUAGUUGGUGGGGUCAAGGCCUACCAAGGCAACGAUGGGUAGCUGGUCUGAGAGGACGAUCAGCCACACUGGGACUGAGACACGGCCCAGACUCCUACGGGAGGCAGCAGUGGGGAAUCUUGCGCAAUGCGCGAAAGCGUGACGCAGCAACACCGCGUGAGGGAAGACGGCCUUAGGGUUGUAAACCUCUUUCAGAUGGGACGAAGGUGAUGCGGUGAAUAGCCGAUGUCAUUGACGGUACCGUCAGAAGAAGCUCCGGCUAACUACGUG
This 492-nucleotide ribosomal RNA is filed under the name uncultured bacterium. Its description in RNAcentral is "bacterial SSU rRNA". It matches the Rfam family "Bacterial small subunit ribosomal RNA", at positions 29 to 507 of the family's 1533-position model. The record is from RNAcentral.